RNAcentral lists this ribosomal RNA (429 nucleotides) under Bacillota bacterium. Its description in RNAcentral is "Firmicutes bacterium partial 16S ribosomal RNA". It matches the Rfam family "Bacterial small subunit ribosomal RNA", at positions 355 to 776 of the family's 1533-position model. The record is from RNAcentral. Lineage: Bacteria; Bacillati; Bacillota.
UAGGGAAUCUUCGGCAAUGGACGGAAGUCUGACCGAGCAACUCCGCGUGAGUGAAGAAGGUUUUCGGAUCGUAAAGCUCUGUUGUUAGAGAAGAACGUUGGUAGGAGUGGAAAAUCUACCAAGUGACGGUAACUAACCAGAAAGGGACGGCUAACUACGUGCCAGCAGCCGGGGUAAUACGUAGGUCCCGAGCGUUGUCCGGAUUUAUUGGGCGUAAAGCGAGCGCAGGCGGUUCUUUAAGUCUGAAGUUAAAGGCAGUGGCUUAACCAUUGUAGGCUUUGGAAACUGGAGGACUUGAGUGCAGAAGGGGAGAGUGUAAUUCCAUGGGUGGCGGUGAAAUGCGUAGAUAUAGGGAGGAACACCGGUGGCGAAAGCGGCUCUCUGGUCUGUAACUGACGCGGAGGCUCGAAAGGGUGGGGAGCAAACAGG